This 1859-nucleotide long non-coding RNA is filed under the name Mytilus galloprovincialis (Mediterranean mussel). The record is from RNAcentral. Lineage: Eukaryota; Metazoa; Mollusca; Bivalvia; Mytilida; Mytilidae.
CUUUCAUUCGAGGAAGGGGGUAGUUAAGAAAAUUAGUGUAAGUUUAAACUCUGAGAAGUUCCGGGCAUAUAAACGUUGAAAAUAUGCCGCACAGACCUAUAUUUUGACCUUUGAAAAAAAUUGUGGUGCAUAUGAACUUUCAAUUCUAGGAUAAGAUUUUUUUCAAACUUCAUAGUAAAAGUGGUACAGUUUUAGCCGUAAAAGGAGUUCCUAUGGGAAAUUGCAUUGUCAAUAUUUACAGAAAUGCCACCUAUAUAGGGUGAAAAAGGGGAACAUUCAGAAUUUAACCAAAUUUGCUUUAUUUCACAGAUUUUAAAGAAAUUAACUCAAAUAAAAGUUUUAUAAUUAUUUAAUGAAGAUUGAUAGAAUCCUGGGACUUAAAUAUGAUGACUCAGCAUAAAUUCACAGUUUACAGUAUGCAUAGUUUACUUAAAGUCCUGGAUACAAAAUUAAAUCAUAAUAUUUGCAUAUUUGUAAGUUAAAUUGUUAAGAAGUGCUAAUAUUUACUCUUCGCAGUCAUUGAAACUAAAAUAUCCUUCCUGAAUAUUAUUUAUGGGGUAUUUGUGUCCUUUCGAUAACCCUUUCGGUAAGCCGCAACACCUAAAUCUGUUUUUUUUUGUCACCACGGCAUAAUAAAUACAAGCUAGAAAAACAAAAAUAUCUCAAGAAAACUUACAAUAGUGUGUUCUAUCCUGAUUAUGUACUAAAUAUUCCAAAUUGCUAAAAACAGCAGAAUGAUUUAGGAAAUUUGAGGCCUCAGGGGCAAAAAACAUAGAAAAUUGCCUACCCCCUGGGUCAUAAAACAAAUAAUUUAACUUGUAAAUGCUAUGAUUUUACGAUUUUAAAGUUCUUGAUAUAGAAAACAAUAACUAUGCUUAGAAGUUAUGCAAAAAUCAGAUGUUAGUAGUCAUCUCUACAACAUUUUAAGUGAAUUUAUAUCUCAGACUGGUAUCUGCAUACAUACAACUAUUGCAAACAUGGCUUUGUUUGAACACUUCUACUAUAUAUAGUAGCUAAAUUGUGUCAGAUAUAUGGUUACAGAUGAUACUGUUGUGACAAGAAUUCUAAAUUGACCAUUUGAGGCAGAAAAUGAGUACUUUAAUUGACAAAUAGGCAUACAGUAAGAUGUGGACUAGAGAUAGAGGCUGGAUUGGAUACUUUAUAUAAUCUUGAAUGUUGUAAUGAUUGACUGCUAAACAUUACAUUUAUGAUAUUCUGAUAUGCUUUCAAUAUGUUAUCAAAACAGUUUUUAACAGGUUCUAGGCAUUUUUUUUUAUCAGAAAAUAUGCAAAUAGGGUAAGCUGGCAAUAAUUUUUUUUCAAAUUCUUUAAAAAAUUGAAACAUGGGAGGGGGUAUAAAAUGUAUAGUAAAGAAAAACUUAGAGUAUACACAGUGAUUUCUUUAAGUCUUUAAUUCUGAUAAAUGAGCAUUAAUGUGAGAAAAACUGAUUUUAGAGAGUUUUCUAUUUGAAUAAAUGUCUGUAUAGGUUGCACUUUGUAAAUACAGCUGUUUCUCAAAACACGCCUCUUUUGGGGAGUAAUUGAAUAUUCAUAGAAAAUUAAAUUUGUUUACAUACUGGUCCCCAGUUAUGUUCUCUGUGUUCCAUAUCGCAGAGACAGAACUUGGGAAUGUUACCAGUAAAUAAACACGUACAUAUUGUUUACAUUGAAAUCUGUGGUAACCUUUCAUUCGAGGUAGGGGGUAGUUAAGAAAAUUAGUGUAAGUUUAAACUCUGAGAAGUUCCGGGCAUAUAAACGUUGAAAAUAUGCCGCACAGCCCUAUAUUUUGACCUUUGAAAACAAUUGUGGUGCAUAUGAACUUUCAAUUCUAGGAUAAGAUUUUUUUCAAAACUUCAUAGU